AUUGAACGCUGGCGGCAGGCCUAACACAUGCAAGUCGAGCGGCAGCGGGACCUUCGGGUUGCCGGCGAGCGGCGGACGGGUGAGUAAUGCCUAGGAAUCUGCCUGUUAGUGGGGGAUAACGCGGGGAAACUCGCGCUAAUACCGCAUACGUCCUACGGGAGAAAGCGGGGGCUCUUCGGACCUCGCGCUAACAGAUGAGCCUAGGUCGGACUAGCUAGUUGGUGGGGUAAUGGCCCACCAAGGCGACGAUCCGUAACUGGUCUGAGAGGAUGAUCAGUCACACUGGAACUGAGACACGGUCCAGACUCCUACGGGAGGCAGCAGUGGGGAAUAUUGGACAAUGGGCGAAAGCCUGAUCCAGCCAUGCCGCGUGUGUGAAGAAGGUCUUCGGAUUGUAAAGCACUUUAAGUCGGGAGGAAGGGCUGUAGGCUAAUACCUUGCAGUUUUGACGUUACCGACAGAAUAAGCACCGGCUAACUUCGUGCCAGCAGCCGCGGUAA
Molecule: ribosomal RNA, 500 nt
Filed under: uncultured bacterium
Lineage: Bacteria
Description: partial 16S ribosomal RNA
Rfam family: Bacterial small subunit ribosomal RNA
Source: RNAcentral